RNAcentral lists this non-coding RNA (20 nucleotides) under Mus musculus (house mouse). Lineage: Eukaryota; Metazoa; Chordata; Mammalia; Rodentia; Muridae. The record is from RNAcentral.
CAUGGCGAAAGUGCAGGCCG